UGAGGAAUAUUGGUCAAUGGGCGCAAGCCUGACCCAGCAACGCCGCGUGAAGGAAGAAGGCUUUCGGGUUGUAAACUUCUUUUCUCAGGGACGAAGCAAGUGACGGUACCUGAGGAAUAAGCCACGGCUAACUACGAGCCAGCAGCCGCGGUAAUACGUAGGUGGCAAGCGUUAUCCGGAUUUACUGGGUGUAAAGGGCGUGUAGGCGGGGAAGCAAGUCAGAUGUGAAAACCACGGGCUCAACCUGUGGCCUGCAUUUGAAACUGUUUUCUUGAGUACUGGAGAGGCAGACGGAAUUCCUAGUGUAGCGGUGAAAUGCGUAGAUAUUAGGAGGAACACCAGUGGCGAAGGCGGUCUGCUGGACAGCAACUGACGCUGAGGCGCGAAAGCGUGGGGAGCAAACAGGAUUAGAUACCC
This 417-nucleotide ribosomal RNA is filed under the name uncultured bacterium. Its description in RNAcentral is "bacterial SSU rRNA". It matches the Rfam family "Bacterial small subunit ribosomal RNA", at positions 355 to 787 of the family's 1533-position model. The record is from RNAcentral.